GUGGGGAGUGGCGUGCCUUGCAUCUCUCUGCAUUUUAGUCCCAGCUAAGCUGCUUGGUCUAGACUCAGAGGAUCAUGUACUUGGAUGGAUUUGCACCAUAACCAACUGCAGGGAACUCUGUGAAAACAGUUUUUGCCCCAAAAUAGACUCCAAGUAGUGUUUUCCCAGGGAAUGGCAAGACAAAUCUUACCUCAGGAGCAGGAAUGGCAAAUGCCACAG
Molecule: long non-coding RNA, 219 nt
Organism: Pyrgilauda ruficollis (rufous-necked snowfinch)
Lineage: Eukaryota; Metazoa; Chordata; Aves; Passeriformes; Passeridae
Exons: 3
Source: RefSeq, a predicted model, not a curated record